AUUAAGUUCAUAUUUCAGUUUUUAGAUACAAUGUUUUGACUAUUUCUCUUAUUUGAGAUAUUUUUGUGAUUAAUAUUUUUGUUGUUACUAGAUGGUAAAACAUGAAUAGUACUUUAUGUGUGACUAUUUUUUUAAAAUUUUUUGUACAAAUUUUUAAAAUAAGAUGAAUGAUCAGAAGUUGGACAUAGAAAUCGAAAAAUUAAGUUAUU
This 209-nucleotide microRNA precursor is filed under the name Oryza brachyantha (malo sina). Its description in RNAcentral is "MIR812 microRNA precursor family". It matches the Rfam family "MIR812 microRNA precursor family". Lineage: Eukaryota; Viridiplantae; Streptophyta; Magnoliopsida; Poales; Poaceae. The record is from Rfam by way of RNAcentral.